RNAcentral lists this ribosomal RNA (579 nucleotides) under Basidiomycota sp. 1 HFP-2013. RNAcentral describes it as "eukaryotic LSU rRNA". It matches the Rfam family "Eukaryotic large subunit ribosomal RNA", at positions 53 to 621 of the family's 3401-position model. Lineage: Eukaryota; Fungi; Basidiomycota. RNAcentral also lists the same sequence under 1 other name. The record is from RNAcentral.
GAGGAAAAGAAACUAACUAGGAUUCCCUUAGUAACGGCGAGUGAACCGGGAUGAGCUCAAAUUUAAAAUCUGGCGUCUUUCAGGCGUCCGAGUUGUAAUCUAUAGAGGCGUUUUCCGCGCCGGACCGCGUCCAAGUCUCUUGGAAUAGAGUAUCAAAGAGGGUGACAAUCCCGUACUUGACGCGACAACCGGUGCUCUGUGAUACGUUCUCAAUGAGUCGAGUUGUUUGGGAAUGCAGCUCUAAAUGGGUGGUAAAUUCCAUCUAAGGCUAAAUAUUGGCGAGAGACCGAUAGCGAACAAGUACCGUGAGGGAAAGAUGAAAAGCACUUUGGAAAGAGAGUUAAACAGCACGUGAAAUUGUUAAAAGGGAAACGAUUGAAGUCAGUCGUGUGAAAGGUAUUCAGCCGUCUCUGGCGGUGUAUUUGCCUUUCACGGGUCAACAUCAGUUUGAUCCGGUAGAAAAAGGCGGGAGGAAGGUGGCACCCUCGGGUGUGUUAUAGCCUCCUGUCAUAUGUGCCGGACCAGACUGAGGAACGCAGCUUGCCGCAAGGCCGGGGUUCGCCCACGUACAAGCUUAGG